RNAcentral lists this ribosomal RNA (253 nucleotides) under uncultured bacterium. RNAcentral describes it as "partial 16S ribosomal RNA". It matches the Rfam family "Bacterial small subunit ribosomal RNA", at positions 524 to 776 of the family's 1533-position model. The record is from RNAcentral.
GACGGGGGAUGCAAGCGUUAUCCGGCAUCACGGGGCGUAAAGCGUCUGUAGGUGGUGAUGCAAGUCACUGGUGCAAAACUCUGGCUCAACCGGAGGAAAGCCAGUGAAACUGCAUGACUAGAGUGUGGGAGAGGUAGAAGGAAUUCCCUGAGUAGCGGUGAAAUGCGUAGAUACAGGGAAGAACACCGGAGGCGAAAGCGUUCUACUGGAACACAACUGACACUGAGAGACGAAAGCUAGGGGAGCGAAGGGG